ACAUCCCUCUAGAGGAGCCUGUUCUGUAAUCGAUAAACCCCGAUAAACCUCACCAACCCUUGCUAAUGCAGCCUAUAUACCGCCAUCUUCAGCAAACCCUUAAAAGGAACCACAGUGAGCAAAACCAUGAAACAUAAAAACGUUAGGUCAAGGUGUAGCCCAUGGGUUGGAAAGAAAUGGGCUACAUUUUCUAAUAUAGAAUAUACACGGAAAUUUUCGCGAAACCGAAAAUAGAAGGAGGAUUUAGUAGUAAAUUAAGAAUAGAGAGCUUAAUUGAAUAAGGCCAUGAAGCAC
Molecule: ribosomal RNA, 294 nt
Filed under: Aethalops alecto (Pygmy fruit bat)
Lineage: Eukaryota; Metazoa; Chordata; Mammalia; Chiroptera; Pteropodidae
Description: partial 12S ribosomal RNA
Source: RNAcentral